Homo sapiens (human) is the source of this 8900-nucleotide long non-coding RNA. RefSeq lists it as uncharacterized. Lineage: Eukaryota; Metazoa; Chordata; Mammalia; Primates; Hominidae. The transcript is spliced from 3 exons. The record is from RefSeq and is a predicted model, not a curated record.
CCUGCCUCGGCCUCCCAAAGUGCUGGGAUUACAGCUGUGAGCCACCGUGCCUGGCCAAGGAUAGACCUUUUCUAAGGGUUGUCAAGGAAAUAACCUCAUGUGCAGAAAAAGUUUUAUGCACAAAUAUGUGUAUCACAACAGCUUUACAAUAGUGAAAACCCAGAAACAAAUUAAUAGUAAUAAGAGAAUGGUUACUUACACUGUUGUGAAAUCAUGAGGAGGAAUCUCACAUAGAAUUGAAAGUGAGGUCUAAAGAACUUUAUAGUAAUAUGGAGAAAAACUUGGUUAAUACAUUAUGUAGAAAAGCAGAUUAUAAAUGUUGUGUAAUAUGACAUCACAACUAUGGAAAACUACACAGUGGUAGUGGUAUCACAGGUGAUCUUUUGCUUUUCUUUAUUUUCCAGUUUUUCUGUAAUAAGCAAGAAUUUUGAAAAUUGGAAUGGGAAAAGGGUGUUUUACUGAAAACAGAAGCAUCAUCCUUCUCUGUUGGUAAUUUUCAGCUUGAUUUGGUUUGUAGUGCUGCAGAAAGUGCUUUUGAUUUCUCUAGAACAGUGUUUCUCAACCUCAGCUAGUUGUGGGAGCAGCCCUGUGCACUGGACAAUGUUUAGCAGCAUCAUUGGCCUCAACGCACAAGAUGCCUGUAGCAUGCCCUCAGUUGUGACAAACAAAAAUGUCUCCACACAUUGCCAAAUGUCCCUGGUGUGGGUGGUCGUGAUAAAAUAACGUCUGGUUGAGAACUGCUGUUCUAGAAUCAUGCACUGAUACAUCCCAAAUACCCACUCCCUGGGAGACUCAGCAAGAGGUGGCAGUGGGUAUUCAGUUGUACACAGCAAUGGAGUAUGUAGAAAUCUAGAAAUUCGUUCACUCACUCAUGAGACAUUUAUUUUCCAGAAAGGUGUUUGGCAUCAGAAAAAUGUGGCAAUAGGAAGCAGGGUUCCUUCCAGCUGCAGGGUGGGAUUCAGUGGGAGGAAUUCAGCCCCUUGCGGGCAGAGGUGGAGUGAAGAAAGGGCCUGGCAAGCAACGAGGCUCACUAGGACUGAGACACCAGCAGUUUUGGUCACAAAAGGAGGUGGAAGCCAAAUUCCCAGCCUGAGAUGGGAAUGAAAGCAGAAAUGCAGUUGACUAGACAUUGUGGAGCCUGCACCAGAGAACUAAAGCUCCUUAAAUUCCUCCUGACAGGGAACAGGAUUGUCCUCAGAGCCUAGGGCAGCCCUCAGCUUGCUGGUGGAAGGAAUGGGGACUUGGAUAAGGAGUUGGAAGAGUGGGUGGCUAGAGAGCCCCUGCAAGGCACUGCCCACUCAGUAGUGAUACUUACUGUGAAGGGCCGUGGGUCUAGACUGAGGCAUUUACACUUGGUUCUGGAAGAAGGAAAGAAGCCAAACCAGUUUUCCUAUAGGAAAGAUCUCUAGAAGUGGAUCAAAGAAUGUACACUUUUUGAAUUUCGAUGGGUAGUACUCAGUUGCCUUUCUAAAUGCCAGUAUAAUGAUCAAUGGAUUGGAUAUUAUUUUGGCAUUUUAUAGUGCUUGAAUAAUAAGUUUAUUAUUUUAAAUGUUUGUAGUGCCGCCGAAGGUUUAUAAAGGUUUAUGGCUGUCGCAGUUUUGCUUUCAUGACCUGUUGUUGAUCGUAUCUUUGAUUUAUGUGAGGCCUAGACAGGAACAGAAUCCCUAAUCAUGAAAUUUUUCCUAUGGGAAAAUACAUCUUGCUUUAUGACAAUCUACUUUAUGACGUGCUUUCCAGAAAUAAUGUGUGGCAAAAUGUAGAGGUCAUCUAUAAAGUUUCUGUUUGUUUUAUCUGUUGUGAAUUUCCAUGAUUUUUGUCCCCCUUUGAUGGCUAAUUUAUUUUCCAUCCUGUAUUAGAGAUACAUAUUUAAUAAAAUUUAAAAUAUUCUUUUUUAAAAAUGCAUGAAGCACAAGGAAGGUGAAUGGGUGAUUAACAAGAUAGUGAUUCAGAUUGAAUAUUAAAUGUAUCUCAUUUCAUGAAACAAAUGCAUUCAAUUAGGUUGAAUGAUAUGAAAUUUUGAUUUUUCUAGGUCAAAAACAGUCAAAUAUCAGCAAUUUUAUAUGGCUCAGUGUAAUAGUAAUGUUGGCUAUAAAGAAAAUUUUUGUGAAAUGAAUAUUCUGUUUUUUAUUGCUUUCUUAAAAAUUUUGAGGUUCAUUUCCCUGAAGACAGAGUUGAAAACUUUGGCUGUGUAUCAUGCUGGGCAUGGCUGGAAUUCAACAAAUUAUUCUUGCUUUGAAUGAUUGUUUCCAUUGGAACAAGAGUUCCCAACGAACCCUGGCUGCUCAUAGAAUCACUGGGGAAACUUUAAAAGAUAUAAUCCAUGGCUCCACACAGAUAAAUCAGUACAUUGGAUAUGGUAUGCAGUGGGGCAGGGCUCAGGCCUCAGUAUUUUUUUGUUCCCCACGUGACUCUAAGGUGCAGCCAGUUUGAGAACCACUGCACUAGAAUUUCAUUUUAAGGAGUCUCAAUGGAGCUUUUGUAUACCUUAGAAAAACACAAUGCCUUUGUUCCUCACCUACUUCUCUAUCUUGCUUUGGACCAAUAAGGUCUAAAGAUGAAAUGUGAAAAAAAUAUAUUUAACUCGAUCAACCCCCUGCUUUGGUUUUCAUUCAACAGAACAUUUAUUGGGUACCUACUAUGUGCCUGGUCCUAGGGCUGGGGACUUUGAUGAAACAGAUGAAUGCUGAGUUAAAGAAGAAUUAUGCCUCUUAAAGAAGCCAGGGAUUAUAUGAAAUGUCCCAAACAGGCAAAUCUGUAGCGAUGGAAGGUAGAUUAGUGGUGGUUGCUUAGGGCUAGUGAGGAUGGGAAAGUAGGGAGUGACUUUAAAUGGGUAUGAGACUUAACUUGGAGGUGAAAAAAGGACCUAAAAUUGAUUGUGGUGUAACUAUAUUAAAAACUAUUGACUUGUGUACUUUAAAUGAAUGAAUUGUAUGGAAUGUGAAUUAUAUCUCAAUAAAGCUGCUGUUAAAAAAAAAAAAAAAGCCAAGGGUUCCUUUUGGCAUGAGGACUUCACACUGAAUAAGUAAAUUAGGAACAGCAGAGAAGAAACUCAGUACUAUACACCCAUUCCUUUCAAAACUAAUAGACAAUAAAAUGGGGACAAUAACUGAGGGCAAAAUAAAGUAAAUCCUGGUUGGAGAUGUUUAGUUACCACCUGUAUUCCAAAUAGCACCUGAGUGUUCAGAGGGUGGAUGGGCUGGGAGCCGUAGGUGAGAAAAAGACAAGAACCUUCAUAGAAUGUACUGUAUGCCAGGCACUAUGCUAAGUGCUCUUUGUAUGUAUUCAUUCAUUCAAUUAUCACACAGUUAUCUCCAUUUUACUAUUUUGAAAUGGAAGCACAGAGAAGUAACUGCCCUAAGGUCAUAUAGCUAGUUAAGCAGUGACAUUAAGACUGCCUUAAAGAGUGGAAGUAUUCUAAUAGCAAUGUGACGAUGCGGGAAUGGGAGUGGCAGUGGGCAGGGAAGCUUGGGCUUGUUGAGGGGAUGGAUAGCUGUCACAAUGUGUUCAACUAGGGUAAUAAUGGAGGAGGGGGUAGAAGGGUGGACAGUGAGGGGUUACUGAGGAACUCCCUUGACCAUGCUAAGGAAACAAAAUGCAGCAGAUGGGCAUCGUUGAAGAUAAUUGAAUCAAAACAAGGCUUAAGAAGGCCAAGUUCAGUUUUCUAAAUGCACAGAUACAUGCAUGUCUCAAUGAGUGUCUCUCUGGGUCUGUUCCCUGGGUCUUACUAUGACCUGGGCUCUGGGGAGAAAUUACUAAAAGAGAAGUCACAAUGACCUAGGGAAAUUGAAAAGCCUCCAUAGGACCUGCCUUAGAACCUUACAUUCUUUGAAUGGUUGCAAAGUCGCAGCCGAAGGUGACUAGCCCAGAAUGCUCAGAACAUUUGGCAUCAAACCUGGACUAGAAGUCUGUUUUUCAGCUGUUCCCUGUCCACUCCCAGGACCUCUGCCUCCUGUCUUAUAGUGUAUCAUGGUCUCUACUGGAUAACAGAUAAGCAAGGUUGAGUCAUCUGAUAUGGUCAUCCCUGGAUGUGGACUUUCUCCUCCAAUCAUGAGCACAACAUAUAGAGCUCCCAUCCUCUCUCCUUCACUCUCAUCAAGUGAAUGGCUCAGCAAGGUUGGGACUCUUGUGGUGAGACCAGAAGAUCUUGAGAAGAGUGUGAGGAAUGAGCUUCCCAGUGAAUAAAAGUGAUGCUCAAAGGAUCAAGAUCAAAAGGCAGUGGAAAGAAAUGAAGGAUGCAGGAGAAAGAUGGACAUUGUGAAUAAAGGGAAGAGAGAGAGGGGUGAUGGGGAAGGUAGGAAGAUCAGGACAGAGCAAGGAACAACAGGAUGAGAUUCAAAAGAAAGCAACAUGGGGAACAUGCAAGUGGUGAGGGCUAAGAAAUCUUAAUAAUGAAGAAACCAUGGGGACUAAGAGGAAGUUGAAGAAAGCUGCUGGAGCAACCUAGAGAGACAGAAGAGAGCAGAGAAGUGAGUGAAAGGAAUAAACCUGGGAUGAGAGAGAGGAUCUGCACUGUAACUCUGAUAUUGACCAAGAGGAUUGAUAACCUCCCUUUUAUUAAAUGCCACAUACAUGCCAAGUGCUGUGCUGAGGCUUUGCAUUUAUUAUAGCAUAGUGGGCACUAGCCCAGAAUGGAAUCCAGAGUUGAGCUGUUUAUGGAGCUGUGCACCAGAAAACACUUAGAUGUCUACACAUAAGUUCACAUGCAGGAGACUAGGAGAGGGUUGUUCUCUCCACCUCCAGUCUCAGCCCAGGAGGGCAGAGGUUGGCCAGCCACAGAGCCCAGUCCAGGUACUUCAACAAGGGGAGCUGAGUGGAAGAACAGAAGCAAACUAUCCCUGAGCAUAGGAGGGGCUCCAUCACCUUCAGAAUGCUACCAAAUAGCUAGGAGGGAUGAAGGCAGAUGGUGAUGGCUUUUGGGGGUAGGAAGUUACCUGAGGUCCUCAGGCCAGCAGGCAUGGUCUUGGAGCUCUAAAGAUUCAGGUAUUUAUGCUAUUAUGACCAUUUGGGUAUUCAGGGCUGGUGAAACUAGAAACAGAACUCACAGAUGUCUUAUCCCUUUGAAUGCUUAUUUAUAACAACUCUGUUAUAUCUCCAUUAAAGAAACACUAGUUACUUCCCCCAUGCUACUGGAUGGUGGCACUAAGUACGACAUGAUCAGUGUGACGCAAAGACCAUACUCUUUCCACUCUACCCUAAGGCAUCUCAUUAGAGAUGGCAUCUCUGCUGUCCCAUCUCUGCUAUCCCAUUUCUGGUUGUCAGAGCAAUAUAUUCUAGGAGGUCAGCCUCAGCCUCAGGCCAUCUUUAGGCAGACAGGAGGUUAAGAGAAGGGAAAUGCAGUGCUGGUCCAGAAGCAAUGACCAAGGCCCUGGGAGCCAUGAAGAUAGAGGCCACACUGGACAUUUCCAGCUGGGCAGAGAGAGGAAGGUUAGAAACCAGGAAAAGAUGAGCAGGAGUUCAGCCAAUGAAGGUUUGGGGCACAGGAAGCAAAAAGCCUGGUCUUAUAGGUUGGCAUUGGUCCCCUCCACCUGUUGGGGACACACAGAAGCCUGGAGCCACAGGAUGUCAGGAACUUUCUGUCCCUUUCAGCUUCACACAUGCACAGCUUAGCGAGAACAUUACCCUUGAUCCUCUGAGCCAGGGAUCACAGUCUACGGGAUUUGUGAAAAUUUGGUUUUGUCUUGCAGGGAAUUUGUCCCCAUGUAAUUCAUUAAUUGACCCAUUGCUCCUUAGAGCUGCAAGGAGCCUGGUAGUUCAGGCCAUUAAGUCCCUUCUGUAGGCCUAAUUCAUGGCCUGACAUCACAAUCCUAAAAACAUAAUCCAUUUGUCCUGAUUUGAUUUUUUCUUUUCGAGAGGCUCCCUUGGCAGCCAGGUUUUCUCAUUAUGAUAUGAUUCAUCCAUAUGGUAAUUACCAUUAGAAUUAGUAUCUCAGACGUGAUUCAUCUUUGGAAAUAUUAAGCUGGAAGCAUCACUUACAGAAAGGCCUGUUCCAUUUACAGCCAUGGGGAAUGUCUGCAGAGAUGCUCCUUCAUCCAGCUAGCAUUUGUUGAGUUUUGCCCUGUACUGGAUUCUGAACUAGGGGCCUUGAGGCGUAUAGAGAUGAAUAGGCCCUAGACUGUGCCCUCAGUAGCUUCCAUUCUAGAAGGGAGAUGAUAGGGACGUAAGUGCUUGUCAGAUGGAUGGUACAGUCAGAGAUGAAAGGUAACAUGUUCUCCUUAAAGUCUAGGAUACAGGUUUUCAAACUCUAGCAGGAAUCAAAAUCACCUGAAGGGCUUGCUAAAACACAGAUUAUUGGGUCCCAGCCCAGAGUUUUUGAUUCAGUAGGCCUGCGAUGGAGCCCAAGAAUUUGCAGUUCCAACAAACUCCUGGGUGAGGAGGAUGAUGCUGGUCUGGGGACCACACUUUGAGGACCAUAGCUCUAAGUCUUCAAUUAUUUCUCCACUGUGCCCUUUCUCCAUUGCUUGCAGCAUGCUAAGCAGUGCCCUGUGCUGGGGACAAAAUGUUUAUUAAAGCUUGGUCCCUGUUCCAGUGGGGAAAUAGUAGGAGAGUAAACAGUGAUUUCUGUACUUCACAGAAAGUGCUACUAGAGCUUUGCUUAAGGUGUCAUUGGAUCACCAAAAAGAACAUGAUUAUUUCUUGCCGGAACCCAGGGAAGGCCACAUGGAGGAGGUAAAAUUUUAAUAAAAGGGAUGUGGAUUGGAAGAAGUUGUAUGGAAGGGCAUUUGCAGCUGCGAAAUUCCCAAGUUUUCAAAUGUCCUGGGGCAUCCUCUAACUUCUUCUGAGAUGUUCCCCUGAAGUGAUAAAGGUUCAGCUUACUUCCCAUAGAAGCCUCUGGCACAGUUCUGGUUAAUUCGCCUGGUUUUAGCAAAGUCUUUAUGUUUGUCUUUCCGGAGUUCUGUUUGGUCAGUGUCUUGCUCGUGCAUGGUCUGAAUACUCUCAGUAGAAUGGAAUUCUCUGCACAGGCAUUUGAAUGGAAUGUGGAAUCAUGAGCAGAGCAAACAGCAGCCUGCUACCAAAAUUCUCCUCCCCAUCCCUGCCAUUUAAGUCUCCAAGCUGCUGCAACUACCCCCUCCAACAGCCUCACUGUUUUUGUUGACUCUUCAGGAAAUUCGACAGUUCUUAUAUCAUUGCAUUUUGUUUACACACAGACACCCAUCAGACAUGAAACUUCUAGUAUCUUCAACCUUUUAGAACACUGCUUGUAGAUUCCAAAGUUAGAAAAGAGGCUCAUGAGACUAGUAAAGGGGUUUCCAAACCAUAGCGCAGAGCUCUUACACUUCAUGCUGUGAGAGGCCCCUGCGUUGUUACCACCUAUUAACUCACAGGUGACACCGUUAAAAUAAAUGUCAUUGUUUUUCUAGCUCAGGGCACUUUAAGAACCACAUUAUGGGGAGGAUAAGGGUGCUAUUAGAAGCACAUAUAUAGUCACUAAUGCGAAAUGGCAGCUGAUACUGAAGGAGAAUAGUAAUAAGAGAGAGGGAACAGGAGAAGCUAAUGUAUUAGAGAAUAAUGAUCAUCAAAAUAAUCAUCAAAAUUAAGUUUAAUUAUACCCUCCAUCUGCCACUGAAGAAGGGGCUGGGUAUGAUAUAGGGUAAAAUCCCAGCACGCUGGGACGCUGAGGCGGGAGGCUUGCUUGAGCUCAGGAGUUUGAGACCAGUGUGGGCAACAUAGCAAGACCACAUCUCUACAAAUAAUAUAAAAUUAGCCCAGCAUAGUGGUGGUGCCUGUAGUCCCAGCCACUCAGGAGGCUGAGGUGGGAAGAUCACUUGAGCCCAAGAGGUCAAGGCUGCAGUGAGCUAUGAUUGUGCCACUGCACUCCAGCCUGGGCAACAGAGUGAGACCUUGUCUCAGAGAAAAAAAAAAAAAAAAAGAAAGAAAGAAAGAAAAAGAAAGCAAGGAAGUAUGGAUUAUAGAACAGUAACACUAAAAGGGACCUUGGAGAUAAUAACUGGCCAGCCUCUUCGUGAUAAAGAUAAGAAAACUGGGGCAAAGAGUAGGUUAUGAGGAAGAGGGUUUCAGUUAUUUGCCCAGUAUCACACAAUUACACAGUACAGACUGUGGGUCUCUCCAGGGCAGAGUCUUUUUUCUUUUUAAAAUCAUUGUUCUCCAGCAUCUACCAUAGUCGAUGUAACUGCAACUCAAUAUUUGUUUAUUUAAAUUGAUUUAGCAGAGUCAAUACAUUAAUCCGUAUCUUGGUUUCUUUUAAACCCCAUGAUCCUUUCAAAUGAUCAAUUUCAUGAAAAAUUAGUAGAGAGAAUAGAUCAGAUUAAGUCCUUUGACUCUAAGCCCAUCAGCAAAUGAUAAUGAAAUGUUGUUAAACUGUUGGUGGAUUUAUCAGAAAUGGCCAAGUUUGGUUACUAGCAAUUAAAUCCACAUUUGGCUACAGCUAUUCUGAAUACUUUGUAAAGAUUUUAUGCCAUUUCAUAUGAUUUAUAUAUCUAGUUUUCAGCAAAUACAGGUGACAGUAGAAUGUCGCCUGUGGUUCAGAUGAAUCCAAUGUAGUCAGGGCCAAAAAACCAGAGGAUUCUAGCCAAGUUUUUGGUGAAGACAUAGAAUUGAGAAAUUCACUUAUUCAAUCAAGAACUGUUCAUUGAGAACUUAUAAUGCCAAACACUGUUCUAGACACUGCAGAUACAGCAGUGAAAAAAAGAAAAUCUCAUGAAGCUGACAUUCUAAUGGAAGGAACAGACAACAAACAACAAACAAACAAAAAGUGAUGGAGGGAUUGUGACUACAAUUACCCCUCUGUUGAAAGUGCUUCCUCUGACAUCUGUAAUAGGAUUUUCUGUUUGGUUUGGUAGUUAACAGCACUAGCUUAGACAUGGAGAGUCUUGAUGUUAAGUCCUAGCUGUGUGCACAUUAGCGCCUUAUUUUUUUUUUUUGAGACAGAGUCUCGCUUUGUU